Molecule: long non-coding RNA, 2646 nt
Filed under: Mizuhopecten yessoensis (Yesso scallop)
Lineage: Eukaryota; Metazoa; Mollusca; Bivalvia; Pectinida; Pectinidae
Description: uncharacterized LOC110463034
Source: RNAcentral
CAUUUUUCCUGACAUGGGUAUACCAACCAACUUCCACAUUUUUAUCAUUUUGAGGAAAAGUUAUGAGCCAAUCUCAUACUAUAUACACCGACAUGAGCCUGUAUGAAAUACCUUAAGCAUUUACGAUUAUUUGGGAACCUUUACAUAUAACUGUUGCGUACUGUUGAGGAUUGUGAUAUCGCUGGUGGUUUGAACUAGGAAUAAGACAUAUAUCGUUCCGACGAGGUUUGAAUUGAUCGAACAACAGUUUGUACGACAUUGACAUGGCUUCCUGACGAAAUAAUUAAACAAGUCUGUUGAUUUAAACUCUAUUUUGUUCAUUUGCUACACUAGCAUGAGGUUUUUUAUUAGUUCUUUUAUUCAAUACCAUUUUUAAAAAAAUGAAUUGUAUGUACAUUGUAUAUAGAAAGUGGGACCUGUGGAACAUUAAUAUUGCUUUUGUGUAUGAUUGAUGUUCUGAAAAAGGAAUUAAAGACUUGCAUAAAGUAUGUUUGAAUAUUAGUUUGUCAGGGGUAUAAAUCUAUAUUUCGCGCGGUUAACUACAAGGAAUUAGCGCGAAAUUGUUUUCUCUAAUGGUACCCCGAUAGAUGGCGACACCUGUAGGGCAUGUGUAGCACGUGCAGCAAGUGUUGCUUGGACCUCAGUUCAGGUCAACGCACUGGUCGGGAAGGAGGUAUAGAAAAUGGCAGAGGAAAGACCAGCGAUAUCACUAACAACAUUUUUGGAGGCGAUACACACUCAGAAAAAUGAAUUGCAGGGGUACAUGGACACUCAAAUAGAUACGUUGAAAAGAUAUCUUAAAACUGCAACAGAAGAUAAUUCCAGGGUUGAUGUUAAAAAACUAAAAGCUGAUGCGGACAUCUCGUGGCGUAGGAAUGGAAAUAAAGAACAAUUUAAAUUCAAUGCCGAAUUAGAAGAGAAUUUGACCAAGGCCGUUUGGGCAGGUGGAGUGGACAAGCACGAGUAUUGUCACGAAUUGAUAAUUAAAUGUUUGGAGGACAUUAAAAACAGAAAUAAACUUAUCAAGUUGGCGGACUCUUCAGAGUGUGGUUGGGAUACGGUCAAGUGCUAUGUGACCAAUACAAUAGCCAGCGACUCCGAGGACGAGAAGAAAAUUUAUAAAGCAGGAGCCAGAGCUCGGAGAAAGAAAAAAGAGAGACUAGCGAAAGUAAAAGGAAAUAGACGAGGAAAAUCCAGAUUUGGACAUACAGAUGGCGGCUCUAAUUUUAGUCGCCCUCCUGCUGCUUCCGGUCAGAAUUUUCGUGACAACACAGGAGUCGUCACAAGGAAGCGGUAGUCGGGAGGAGCCUGCUUUGGCUGUGGUCAGUUUGGGCAUUUCAGAACUCGGUCAACUCCGCAGAUGGACGGCCGGGAUUCCACCCAACAGCGAAGUGAUAUUGAGCCAGCGAACCAGGAGAGGCACACGAGGGGGGAACAAUUGGUGCUAGAUAAAUAUUUUAGCGAACAAUGUGACAAUGCGGGGGUUCUUGAUAAUGACUUGUUAUUAACCGAAGAUUAUUAUGAAUAUGAGCAGGUAGAAAAGGAAAUACUGGUGAAGGGUUUUUUGAGAAGUGCGGAGGUACUGCAGUUGAUCAGGUCUGAUAUUAGAGUGUCCUCCACCCACCUGGAAGUGUUUAUUCAACAAUCCAAAACUGGUGUGUACAGAGACGGAUCUUGGCUCUUAAUUGUGAGAACUGGUAACAGAUUAAGUCCUGUGAAAAACUUGGAGCGUUAUAUGAAACUUGCAGGGAUUCAAGACGAUAGUGGUGAGUUUUUGUUCCGAAAUGUGACAAAAUGUUAAGACAAGUAUAUUCUUAGAAAGGACAACAAGCCACUUCUGUAUGCAAGAUUACGCGAGUGUUUCAUAGAGAACUUCUCCAAAGUUGUGGAAGAUGUUACCAAAUACGGACUGCACAGUUUUUGUGCAAGUUCAGCUGCAUGUGGGGGAAUAUCCGAUCGAUUAUUUAAGCGUCCUGGCAGAUGGCGUUCGGAGAAUGCGAAGGACGGUUAUGUGAAAGAAAGUUUACAGGCCAGGUUGUCGUCAUCGCUAAAAUUGGGGCUUUAGAUUAUUAGAAAUGGGCAAUAGUUCUGUUAGGUCAAGUGGGUGGAGGACGCGUAGAAGUAUAGGGUAUAUUCAAAAUUAUAUUGAAAGACAAUUUGAAUCAGAAAUAAAAUAAGUUAUUAUUCAUGUUGAGAAUUUAAUCUAAUAUUAUUGAAGCUUAUAUUAAAGUUUUAGUAAUGCCCGUUCUUUGUAUUCAGGCCGGUGCGUUGUGAACAGCCUAUGGGUGUUUGUUGUUGCCACCUGGGGGGUGGGUAAUUAGAGAAUUUAUAUUUCGCGCUGUUGACUACAAGGAAUUAGCGUGAAAUUGUUUUCUCUUAUGGUACCCCGAUAGGUGGCAACACCUGUAAGGCAUGUGUAGCACGUGCAGCAAGUGUUGCUAGGACCUCAGUUCAGGUCAACGCACUUGUUUGGGACGGAGGUAUAGAAGAAGAAAAAAAAUCUGAAAAAAUAGUGGUAAAUGUCUAGGAGAUACAUUGUAGAUGUGUAGGAUAAAAUAUACAUGACAAAUUGUUGUAAAAUGUUGUUUGAAAUUAUUAUUAAUAAUUAAACAGUCACUGGUGCAGGCCGGUGCGUUGUGAACAGCC